AUGGGCUUCAGCCCGUCGGUGAGGAGGUGGAGGCAGGCCGCGGGGCGCAUGCUGGGCCGCGAGCGAAGCAGACGAGGCCUCGCGCAGCGAGUGGCACUAGUCCAGGCUGGUGCUAGACUGGUCAACACGGGGCGCGGCUCCGUCGUCCUCCUCUCGAACGGCGGCAGCGCAGGACUUGGGGACGAGCGCUCCUGCAACGGGCGGCGCUGGCCUUGGAGAUCUGGCACGGGAGGUCACGCACGCGAGGCAGGGGCCGGAGACGAAACGAGGGAGGCGGCACUGCGGGACUUGAGGCGCGAGGCGAAGCAGAAGACGGCGCUGAGCUCGUUCCCGAGCAGGGGUGCAACACGGGCAUGGCUCUCGCUCGAGCAGCGCAUGGGAAGAAGGCACGACGGCAUCGGCGGCUAG
This 408-nucleotide ribosomal RNA is filed under the name Triticum aestivum (bread wheat). Its description in RNAcentral is "partial small subunit ribosomal RNA". Lineage: Eukaryota; Viridiplantae; Streptophyta; Magnoliopsida; Poales; Poaceae. The record is from RNAcentral.